Molecule: long non-coding RNA, 1392 nt
Organism: Lagopus leucura (white-tailed ptarmigan)
Lineage: Eukaryota; Metazoa; Chordata; Aves; Galliformes; Phasianidae
Exons: 3
Source: RefSeq, a predicted model, not a curated record
GUACUGAGGAUUCCACAUCUGGAUGCAGUACACCAGUGAAGCCUAAAUGUUAAUGCUGAAACAAGCUGCUGUCAUGCAUGUAAGGUGUUCUGCCUUUCCUCAGGGGUUGUGCUGCUGCUCCGGUGGGAAGAAUAACACGACAAGCUCGACAGGCUUUGUGUCUGCUACAGCUUGUACCAAUACAAAAGCAGCAAGACAGCAUGCGCAUGAUAUCACAGCAACUGCUGCCUGUGCUGAAGAUGGCUGGCUGGGGGAUAAUUUCUGUGGCACUGGGGGAUGUCUGAGGAAGCAGGGCUUCAUCUGCAGCCUCUGCCUUCAAGUUUGCACUAUAGAAGCCUCUGGAGCCUUCUCCAUUUUAGACCCACCUUCCACCCUGCUGAUGUUCACUGCGAAGCCAGCAAGGGUGACUCAGCAGAGACGUGCUGUGUGUCUCAUGAAGCAUGAAUACUGUGCUUGUGAUAUUUGGGCAUGAUGGGUUGGUGAGGUCAGCGCUGCCAGCCCUCCGCCAUCCUGGCCCCCAUAGUACAACUUCCUCCCAGCCUGGGAGGAGGAUGUGUGGCUUGGGCUAGAGGGACAACAAAGUUAAUGCUUUUCUUCCUCAGUCAAACACCAGUUCAAACGCUUUCUUCCCCAGGAGCCAGAGGGGUGUAGAUAAAUCUUCUGCUUUGUUCCUCACAGCUGAGGUUCCGGCUGUGGCCUGUCCUGGGUGGGUAGGAACUGGAACUGAAUGCUCAUUGAGAAAGACUCCAUGUAACUGUGAGAAGAAAAUGGCCAUGGCCAGUCUGGCUCAUCCUGCUCAAAUCCGGGUCACCCUUGGUGAUAUGUACCUAGCUCCUUUUUUUUCUUUUUUUCUCCCAUUAAAGCUUUUUUUUAUUCGUUUGUCACAAUCAUUUACACAGGUGAGAGGUACCAGCUCAUCCACAGGCUGAGGUGAAUGCAGGUGUGGCUGGUGACCUCAGAGCUGGCCUCCUGUAGAGUGGCAGGGACACCUUGCUUCUCAACCUUCCUGAUGGAUAAGCCGAAGUCACAGCUGGGCCCAUCCAAUCCCCCUCUUCACACCAUUAUAGAGUGGUUGAGUGAAAAAGAGAAUAUCAGUCACUUUUUCCCCACUCAGAGAAAGAACGCUUUAUUCCAGGGGCUGUACUUCAUUACCAGGAGAAGGUGUAAAGAAAGAUUAUGAACUACAUGUCAAAUAAAGCUGAAUAAUUCCUGCUGCUAACUUUGCUGGAAGAUGGUUUUCCUCUGCAGGCCAAACAUGGAGAUGAAAGGCCAAGAGGUGGGAUAUCUAAAUCUAACCUCUUCUGUUACGCAUGGUAAGCUGACAUGCAAAAUAGUAAUGUGUUGGUUUAGUGCAAAAAAAAGAAGGAGAAGAAGAGAAAGAAGAAGAAAAAG